Molecule: RNA transcript, 5822 nt
Organism: Puntigrus tetrazona (Sumatra barb)
Lineage: Eukaryota; Metazoa; Chordata; Actinopteri; Cypriniformes; Cyprinidae
Gene: plppr2a
Gene name: phospholipid phosphatase related 2a
Exons: 8
Source: RefSeq, a predicted model, not a curated record
CCGGUUGCGCCGACUCUCGCGCGCGCACACGCGCACUCGCCGCAGCCGCACAGGAGAGCCGCGCUUGAAUCUCUCUCGCCUCGUUAAAGAGGGAUCCGCCUGUGCGCGGUUUGCACACAGACCGCGAGCGCAUCUGCGUGCGUUAAUGCGAGGAAACGCUCCGCGUGGAAACAAAAUAAAAAAAAUCCUGCGUGGGUGGGCGGAUAGACGGAAGAGCGAGGAGGAGGAGGAGGAGGAGAGGUGCGCAGGAGCUCCAUGGAAAACGCACGUUAUGGCCACCGCAUAAGAAUCCAUCGCGACGGCCGUGUAGGGUGUGAAAAUAAAGUGGGAGUGUGAGAGGAGGAACCGAACGGAAAGAAGCGGGAUCUACAAUGGCAGCAGAAGAGAAGCCUACUGUGAAGAGCAGUAGCUCCAUUGUACCAUGUUUCCUAUUUGUGGAGCUGGUGAUCAUGGCAGGCACCGUUCUCCUGGCGUACUACUUCGAGUACACGGACACCUUCCCCGUGCACAUCCAGGGCUUCUUCUGCUUCGACAAGGCGUUCUCCAAACCGUACCCCGGACCCGAGGAGCGCAGCAACGUACCGCCGGUGCUCGUGUACUCUCUGGUAGCCGCUAUCCCAACUAUAACCAUUCUGGCCGGCGAGGUAAUGGUGUUUUUCAUGAGGUCAGAGAGCACGCAGGAGAAGACCAUAGUCACAGCCGACUGCUGUUACUUCAACCCUCUGCUGAGACGCAUCAUACGCUUCCUAGGCGUCUACACCUUCGGCGUGUUCACCACCACCAUCUUUGCCAAUGCCGGGCAGGUAGUGACAGGAAACCAGACGCCUCACUUCCUGUCAGCGUGCAGACCAAACUACACGGCACUGGGCUGCCAUUCCAACCUGCAGUACAUCACCGAGCGCAAAGCCUGCACGGGAAACCCCCUCAUAGUAGCGUCUGCUCGGAAAUCGUUUCCCUCCAAAGACGCAGCCCUCAGUGUUUACUCCGCGGUGUAUACAGUGAUGUACGUGACGUUGGUGUUCAGAACUAAAGGGACGCGUCUGACCAAACCCACACUGAGCCUGACUCUGCUGUGUCUGGCCAUGCUGGUCGGUGUGGUCCGAGUGGCCGAGUACCGCAACCACUGGGCCGACGUCCUCGCCGGAUACUUCACCGGCGGAGCCAUCGCUGUCUUUCUGGUGAGAGCAUGCGAGGUGACGUGCGUGAUCAACAACUUCCAGCAGACCAAGCCCCCACCCCCUCCGGUGCGACCCCAGCGCCCUGAGUCUGUGCUGGGCAUGCCCAUGGUGGCGCUGCCCUGCGUAGAGAGUCCACUUGAAAAGUUAAGUGGCACUCAGGUAAGGGGUGGGAGUGGGUUAGUGGCAGGGCUGCACACAUAAGGGGGAUGGAUUACGCCCCACCCCGUCCUUCUGUGUUUGACCCAGUGGACCCUAAUGUGACCCACCCAGCCCUCCUUCUCCCCUUACUAGCAUGUCCGACCUGCACAACCCAAACACCAACCACAGCCAUCCACUGACGCUCUGGAGGAUUGAUCCGCUCCUUGCCUAUCCCGAAGAGACGUUACAUUACUGUUAUAAUAGAGUUAAAUGUUUAGGGCCGUUAGCUCGUUGAUCCCUCAGUGGGUUGAUGGGAGUUUUACGUCUAUAGAGCAGAUGUACCUUUACGACAAUGAAAAUGGACUGUGUAGCAUGAGGAACUUCAAAGACGGAAGGCCAUUAGAUGGUUCAUUCUGGGAAAAAUUACCGCAGUACUCCAAGGGGAUCUCCAUUCACUGAGAUCACAUGACCAUCAGCCUCAUCGGUUCCCCGUCCCCCCCGAUGUCCUCAUACCGUCUCGCUCCAUUUCCAGCGAAGUCUAGACCAGCCGUCCCAGCACGCGCGCCACUGCGCCGCCCACUCCGCGGGACGCUCCGCCGCUCUGCACCGCUCCUACUCCACGCAGGUCUAGAUUUCCUCACCUCCAACCCCUCAUCCUCCAUAUUCCUCCAUGCUGCCGAUAGGGCCUCCACAAACCGCUCAAACAAACCACGAGAAGCACUUUUUAGAGCGCCUGCUCGGAGAUCCCGAACGCCAGAAAACACAGGUAGGCGUCUCUCUCUCUCUUGCCGGAGAGUUUGUUUGGACCGUGGGUGGAGGAUUCGAACCCGUUCAGACCUCUCAAAAACCAACCCGACCUACUUCCUGGGGAACCGAUGAAGAAGACUUGAUCAGCUUUUUGGCUGAAAUCCAGAACUUUGGCUGCAAUUUUUACUGCAGUGUGUAAAUACAUGCACUGUUUUUUGUUUUGUUUUUUGGCUUUUUUGGUUAAAAGCAUGUCUGUUUUGUUUAUUUUUGAUCAUUAGGGAGACAAUUAGUCCUCUUUUUCCGAGACAUGUCCUGGAUUGUCAGCGUUUUGGCUUUGUUUUCCUUUUUCCUUUCAUACUUGCUGAAGGUAAUGACUGAAACGUUUUUUUGACCAAUAGCAUGCAGGCAUUGUGUAAAAUCGACCAAUUUUGGAGCGCAAUAAGGCGGUAUCUACAGAGAACAUCAAAGUAAUGCGAAUACAUGCACAUAUAAUGUAUGACAAUCUACCAAUAGGAAAACAAAUUCAAAUCCCGGACAUUUUAGGCAAUCUAGAAAUCCCAGCUAGGACAUUUCUAAGAAAAAGAGGAUGCGUGGUCACCCUAGCACUGAUGGAGUUUACAAGUUACGUUUUUAUAGUGUAUGGUUUUGAAAAAUGACAUACAUAGGUAUCUAUUGGUUUGUUUUUGAGUCAUAUUCACUAUGCGCUUGGGACAGUCUCAUCAGCAUCAGCCAUCUGGACGUCCUGUAAGUGCACAUCAAGGUAAAAACCUCUAAACUUGGGAGACGUUCUUGAUACCAGCUCUUAUAAUAACGUUGGGAUGCAUUGCUAGGAAUUGACAGACAGAACGACAAGGCACAUGAGCAUCAACCGCAGCGCUCCUUUUUCAUUUUUAAUGUCCGGUUCGUGCUCACAAGGAUUUUUCCACCAGCUAGAUGUAAUGCACAGUCUAACACGAAGGCCUUUUCAUUACCGUGUCCUCAGACACAACACGAGGCUUUCAGACAUGAGACAUUCUUACAGUUUUUCAUCAAGGUAUGGAUUAGGUUUUUCAUUUCUCAGGAGAGAAAAGCAAGAAAAGUGCCCCAUGACGUCAACAGAGCCGUAAAAACAGCAUCAGUGUUGUUGUUGUUGGUGUUUCUGUGAAGGAAGUUUUAAAAACGUGGUAACUGGAGGUCAGCUAGUUUCUUUCCUGUAUAGUGAGCAGCCUUUUCACAUUCAUAUCACCGUGUGUUACUAACAAGGUUGUGCGCCAUUCAGAAUUGAAUUACGGUUUGAGUCCUGAAUUUAAAGUUGAGGUGGCAAACUAAUAUAUAAUCAUUUGAAUGUAAGGAAACGGAAUGGAGGUUUGUUGAAAUGUUAAUUCCGUACAAUAACAUUUCACUAGAAAUGAAAGGUUUGGGAAGUUGUUGUAGUCUGCUUUGUUUAACUCUACAAACACUUUUUAAAUUGGCAUUUUGUUUAUUUUAUUAGCACUUUUGUAAAUAAAAAGCUCAUUUUUUUAUAAUAUUCUAAUAUAUUUAAGGAGUGUACAGUUACAGUUAACCUUUUAUUAGAUUGUUCUUAGUUAUCUAGAUAUGAAAUUUCAUAUAGGCAUAGAUAGAUAGAUAGAUAGAUAGAUAGAUAGAUAGAUAGAUUUUUUCUUACUGUCAUUCCAAUUGAAUUUCCCGUUGGAUGUGGUCAAUACAACUCAAAAUCACAUUUGUAAAUGAAAAACAGAACCAAUUCUGAAUUUUGCACAACCCUGUUUAGCAAGUUUGUAAAAACCUUUGGCUGUCGUUUUAUAAUGAUGAUGUUAUGAAAUGUCCUUGCAAUGAAGUCAUUCCUGCAAACAGCACAGGGUGCCUGGUAAUGCAGUUUGAUUUGAUGACCAGUUAAUAUUAAUCAACUGCCUGGGUGAAAGAAGUAGUAGAGUGAGGGUUUACGUUUUGAUGAACAAAUAAGACAAAAACAUGCCGUGAUGAAUCAUUCACAAGAAAGGAAGGAAAGUGUAUUAAAGGAAGAAAUCACAAUUUCUGAAAUGUUACUCACCCUCAGGCCAUCUAAUAUGUAGAUGGGAGAUGUUUAUUUCUAUGUCAGAACAGAAUUUGGCGUUCGUUUACCAAUAGACCCUCUGCAGUGAAUGGGUGCCGUCAGAAUCGGCGUCCAAACAGCUGAUAAAAACAUCACACUAAUCCACAAGUAACCCAUAAAAGAUCAUUAAUGUUUUGUGAACUGGAAAUCAGCGUGUUUGUAAGAAGUAGAUUAACUUGAAACUGUUAAAACCAGUCCGCUACCAAAAAAUCAGAAUGAGGAGAAAAAUCUGCACAGAUUAAGUACAAGAGAAAACAAAACAUUUCUAAACAAUUAUAUCGGUGGAUUUUGAUGUGAGGGACAGCAAGUUCUCCUUUUGUUAUAGACUCAAACUUUGAUGAGUUAGCUUCAAACGCACAGCUUUUCACUCAACAAGGCAUUAACUGAUGGUCAGGAGCGGUGUGGAUUAUAGUGAUGUUCUUAUCAGCUGUUUGGACUCACGGCACCCAUUCACUGCAGAGGAUAAAAUGCUGCGGAAAUUAAACGCUAAAUUUCUCCAGAUCUGUUGCAAUGAAGAAACAAAGUCAUCUACAUCUUGGAUGAGUGAGUGAACUUUCGCCAAACUUUCUUUUCUGCGUAAACUACUACUUUAAGAAAUUUAAAUGGGGAAUUUUGGAGCCAACGGUUAAGUGUCUCAGGCAGCUAAAAUAAAGUCACGCUCACAGAUUGCUCGAUCAAACGUAAUAGGUUUUUUACACAGAGGAUGUUCAUGAGUUGGUGUAUGUGCUGUUGUACCAUACGUAAACCAAGUGUUGUGCACUUCAUCAUUUUAUCCAGCUAUGUUAAAAUUGCCAAUGUUUUUUUUUAUUAUUUUUUAGAAUGUUUGCUUUAAAUCACUUUUCCUUUCCAAGAUAGUGUUUACUUAGACUAAUUGUUUGGUACUGUAAGUAAGCCGUGUAUACAAAUUGUGCGUACUUUAAUCAGAUGGGUGUAAACGCUCCACCUUGUUGCACUCCAAACGGAUGAAAAUUAAUGUUUGUAACAUUAGCUGUGACAUCUAAUCUGUCUGAUGCCCCCCAGCCUUUACAUCCCGGCACCAGGUCCAGCCUCUGCCACAUUCUGUGCUACGUACAGUUACUGUCUCUGUUGUAAGAGCACCAUCUACACAUGCUAAGAAACACCUUCACACCCUUGAAGCGCUCCAUUAAAGGUGAAGUCUGCGAUUUUUAAUUUUUUUUUACCACUAGGGAAUGGAAUAAGAGCAGCAAUGACUGUUUUCAAACAGGUUUCCCAAACCUCUGCUAUUGGCCGGACGAAUGCAAAGCCCCGCCCCCAAACUCAUGCUAUUGGUCGAGGCAAUGCUGCUGGUUUUAGGCUGGUGAGGAUUCUGAACGAAUCCGAGCCAGAAAGAGUCACAGCCGUACAGUAUUUGCACGUUUUGGACGAAUCGAGCCGCAAAUUAAUUAUUGGUAAUUGUUGAGACUGAAAGAAAUUACAUGCUUCACCUUUAAAAAUCUUUUAUCUGUAGCUCUCUUAUUCCUUCUUUCAUACACCCAAAUGAAAAGAUAUUUGUACAGUUUUGCAAACAAGUCUUUUUGUAUUAAAAAAAGAAAAAAAAUGACAAGAGUUUUGCACACCAUUCCUGUGCACCGGAUUAAUUUGUUACAUUGGUGAUUUUUAUUUAUAUACACCCAAUGCGUCAUUGAUCUGUGUUUUGGGUAAUUGAAUAAAGUAAAAGCGUGACAUGC